AGAGUUUGAUCCUGGCUCAGAACGAACGCUGGCGGCGUGCCUAACACAUGCAAGUCGAACGGAGAUAAGGGGCUUGCUCCUUAUUUUAGUGGCGCACGGGUGAGUAACGCGUGGAUAAUCUACCUUGGAAUCUGGGAUAACAUUUCGAAAGGGGUGCUAAUACCGGAUAAGACCACGAGCUCUUUGGAGUUUGCGGUAAAAGGGGGCCUCUGUAUAUGCUUCUGUUUCAAGAUGAGUCCGCGUACCAUUAGCUAGUUGGCAGGGUAAUGGCCUACCAAGGCGACGAUGGUUAGCUGGUCUGAGAGGAUGAUCAGCCACACUGGAACUGAGACACGGUCCAGACUCCUACGGGAGGCAGCAGUGGGGAAUUUUGCGCAAUGGGGGAAACCCUGACGCAGCAACGCCGCGUGAGUGAUGAAGGCCUUCGGGUCGU
This 433-nucleotide ribosomal RNA is filed under the name uncultured bacterium. RNAcentral describes it as "bacterial SSU rRNA". It matches the Rfam family "Bacterial small subunit ribosomal RNA", at positions 8 to 426 of the family's 1533-position model. The record is from RNAcentral.